CAAGUACAUCUGAGUCAGCAAUUGUUGGGUUAAUGUUUAGACGAGUUGUAUAUAGAGAAUAAUACAUGGCAAAAUCCGUAUCAUAUGUCGUAUUAUCCCGAGACAUCAAUGUGGGUCUCAUUGGGGUCUAAGCGUGACGCGGGAUUGCCGAUAUUUUGUAAGCGUGACACGUGAAAGUCAAAUUAUUGCGUCGUGAAAACAGGAAAUGAGGUCUAGCGGGACCCGGGAAAUGACAUAAAAAGGAGAAUUGCUUACGUAUAUAGUGUAAGCGGGAUAUGGGAAUCUGACAAAACAGUUAGCGGGAUCCGGGAUCGGAACCCCCCAAUGAGACCCCCAUCAAUAUCAGCCCAAGGGCCUUUAGGCCCGAGGGAUGAUAUUGGUCGAGGGUGAUACGGCAUGUGAUACGGAUUUUGCCAUGUAUUAUACAUUUUAUUAUAUAUUUCAACAGAAG
This 451-nucleotide long non-coding RNA is filed under the name Mytilus galloprovincialis (Mediterranean mussel). Lineage: Eukaryota; Metazoa; Mollusca; Bivalvia; Mytilida; Mytilidae. The record is from RNAcentral.